This 478-nucleotide ribosomal RNA is filed under the name uncultured bacterium. Its description in RNAcentral is "partial 16S ribosomal RNA". It matches the Rfam family "Bacterial small subunit ribosomal RNA", at positions 28 to 507 of the family's 1533-position model. The record is from RNAcentral.
GAUGAACGCUGGCGGCGUGCUUAACACAUGCAAGUCGAACGGGAAAUAUUUCAUUGAGACCUCGGUGGAUUUGAUUUAUUUCUAGUGGCGGACGGGUGAGUAACGCGUGGGUAACCUGCCUUAUACAGGGGGAUAACAGUCAGAAAUGGCUGCUAAUACCGCAUAAGCGCACAGAGCUGCAUGGCUCAGUGUGAAAAACUCCGGUGGUAUAAGAUGGACCCGCGUUGGAUUAGCUAGUUGGUGGGGUAACGGCCCACCAAGGCGACGAUCCAUAGCCGGCCUGAGAGGGUGAACGGCCACAUUGGGACUGAGACACGGCCCAGACUCCUACGGGAGGCAGCAGUGGGGAAUAUUGCACAAUGGGGGAAACCCUGAUGCAGCGACGCCGCGUGAAGGAAGAAGUAUCUCGGUAUGUAAACUUCUAUCAGCAGGGAAGAUAGUGACGGUACCUGACUAAGAAGCCCCGGCUAACUACGUG